AAACAGAGUUGAGCCCAAAAAAAGAUGAUCAUCGGCCUUGGGGGUGAAAGCCCUGCAAUAGGGUGUAGGAAGCAGUGGGCGCAGAACUAUUGAAACCAAGCCCGACUCAUUGUCAGCUAGAGGAGCAGAGGGUGAGAAAUGCAUUCAAGGAACAGAGCUGACACACCCCUUCAAUGAUACGCGUGGAAUCAAAAUACGUCAAUGAAAAAGUCUAAAAUCAACUUGAACUGGUCCAAACGAAGGUAACCAGCCAAGAACCCUAACGCACCAAAGUCCAACUAACUAGUGUCAAGGCAUGGAUCUUCAUGAAAACCAUGGGGUUAAUGCUGCUAAGGAUUCCUACUACAUGUUGGUGGUCGAUGCUGAAGCAAACGGAGGAAAUUUUGUUUACCUCCGAAACGGAGAAAUAUUUCGGCGAGUAUUGAUCGGAGGAGACGAGAUGCGGACGAACCAGGCUUUAUCAACCAGAAAAGUUCAGAGUAUUAUGUUAAAUCAACUUCAGGUCAAAUCGGAAUCGAGCUUGCUCAUGCUUUCCCCUGGAAACAAUCUACUUAAGAAUUUUAUUGCCAGCUUUUGAAUUGAUCCUGCCAUGUUUUGAAAGACUCGAAUAUUUUAUCCCAACUUCUGUUAGGUUUGAAUUUGAGGCUAGUUUGGAAGCAAACUUGAGGUUAAUUGAUUGAGAUUAAAGUCAGUUUGGGAAUGAACUGGUUUGUCAAUUUGGUUUGAAUUUAUAAUACACUUGCAGGUCAUUUAGGUUGAUUGGAAGUGAACAUGAAGUUAAUUUUUGAACUUAAAAGUUGACUGCAUUACUGAGUUGUGGGCUGCGACUUGAUAAACUCAUCUGGGUAUUUUUGCAAUGUAAAACUAGUAGGGAAAAUUCAUUGAGUUGAACUGAAUCCGUCUGGAAUUUCUCUUUGCGGUUUCCUGAGUUUUUGUUAACGCAUAUUCUGACUUGGCUUGCUAGUUAUGCAAGGUUCAUGACCAUGGUUUGAAGACUGGCUCAUAGUCUACUCAUGCUUCUUCCUUUUAGCACUUAAUGCAGGAAAAUGUACUAAUGUUUGUAGAAUCAAGGACCUCUGGUUUGGUCCAUGCUACCAUGAGUCAUAUGAUUUUGAGUUAGGCCUUAGUUCAAUUGAAUACACCCAUGUAAUGUGUGAUGUAUUGUUGGUCUGAAUGUCACAUGAUGCAUGAUAGUAAUGGUCAUGUUUGGACUUGGCUUAACUUAACAAGAACAUCAAGGUGAUAAAGGAAAAGCAAAGUGAAAUCAAGGCAUGAUCAACUUGAAAAGGGAUUUCUUGCUCAUAACAAUGAUGGAAACUCAUGGAAUUAUGAAGAUGUAAUGAGACUCAGGUUUUAGGGGAAAAAAGUAAUGGUUGACUUUGAUCAACUGGUAGACCAAAAAGUUAACAAUUGACCAAAAGUCAAUAGUUGACCAAAAGUCAACUUUUCAAAAAAGUAAUUUUUAUUUAUUUCUCUCUUUGUAAUGAACAUUGUAUUCUAAUGCAUGAAUGAAUCAUCAAUUGUUUGAGUGAAA
Molecule: long non-coding RNA, 1534 nt
Organism: Lathyrus oleraceus (garden pea)
Lineage: Eukaryota; Viridiplantae; Streptophyta; Magnoliopsida; Fabales; Fabaceae
Exons: 2
Source: RefSeq, a predicted model, not a curated record